Molecule: ribosomal RNA, 1203 nt
Filed under: Ceylonthelphusa venusta
Lineage: Eukaryota; Metazoa; Arthropoda; Malacostraca; Decapoda; Parathelphusidae
Description: partial 16S ribosomal RNA
Source: RNAcentral
AGUUAUAUAUCUUGUUGAUUAUAUUUUUUUAUAAAAAAAAAGAAAAAUAAUUUUAGUAAAAAAAAGGAGUAAUUUUUAAUGAAAUAAUAUGAUAGCUAUAAAUUAUAAGUACUGUAAAGGAAAGAUUGUGUAUAAGAAGAGUAAAAGAAGAAAUUGAAGUUUGUAUCUUGUGUAUCAGAGGAAAUUUAUAUAAUUAAAAUAAUAUUAAAAUCUCGAAAUAAGAAUAGUUAAUUUUGUAAAAGAGUUUUUAUAGGCUAAAAAUUUUGAAUAUAAAAUUAAAGAUGAUAUGUUAGACGAGUUUUAUUAUAUCUAGUUUUUUAAAAAAGAAAUUUAAUUUAGUUUAUAUAUUAAUAAUAAUAUAUAAGAAUAAAGUAGGAAGGAUGAGCUUUUUAUUACUAAUAAGUGAAAUAGUAUAGUAAAGUUAGAAUUAUGUGAGCUAAGCUUAAAAGUAGUUAUGUUUAUAGGGUGUUUUAACUAAAUUCUAAGUUGUUGAUUAUUAUGCUUUUCUUUAAUAUUAAAAAUUUAUUUUGAAUGGUAAAUAAUAAGAUAAAAUGAUUUUAUUAGUAGAAUGAUGAGUUGUUGAUUGUAUAAAAAUAAUAGAAUAUUUGAUAAAUUGUUAUUAUGUGAAAGUNCGUUAUAGGAAUUCAGUAAAUAUUUUUCUUGCCUGUUUAUCAAAAACAUGGCUAUUUGAAGUUAUAAAAAGUCUAACCUGCCCNCUGAUUUAGAUAGUUAAAGGGCCGCGGUAUUAUGACCGUGCAAAGGUAGCAUAAUCAUUAGGUUUUUAAAUGGGAUCUUGUAUGAAUGGUUGGACAAAGGAAAAGCUGUCUUUAUAUUAAAAUUUAAAUUUUACUUUUAAGUGAAAAGGCUUAAAUAUAUUAAUGGGACGAUAAGACCCUAUAAAACUUUACAUUUAAAUUAUAUUUGAUUGAAUUUAAUGGAAUAAAGAAUUUUAUGUAGUUAUUUGUUAUGUUGGGGUGACAGAAGCAAAAUUUUUAUUAACUGCUUAAUAAACAAACAUUUAUAGAUGAAUUUUAGUUUGCAGAUCCUAAUUAAAGAUUAAAAGAUUAAGUUACUUUAGGGAUAACAGUGUAAUUUUUUUUGAGAGUCCAUAUCGAAAAAAAAGUUUGCAACCUCGAUGUUGAAUUAAGUUAUCUAUAUAAUGUAGCUGUUAUAUUAGAGGGUCUGUUCGACCUUUAAUUUUUU